UACGUAUGGUGCAAGCGUUAUCCGGAUUUACUGGGUGUAAAGGGAGCGUAGACGGCUGUGUAAGUCUGAAGUGAAAGCCCGGGGCUCAACCCCGGGACUGCUUUGGAAACUAUGUAGCUAGAGUGUCGGAGAGGUAAGUGGAAUUCCCAGUGUAGCGGUGAAAUGCGUAGAUAUUGGGAGGAACACCAGUGGCGAAGGCGGCUUACUGGACGAUGACUGACGUUGAGGCUCGAAAGCGUGGGGAGCAAACAGG
This 253-nucleotide ribosomal RNA is filed under the name Coprococcus comes ATCC 27758. Its description in RNAcentral is "partial 16S ribosomal RNA". It matches the Rfam family "Bacterial small subunit ribosomal RNA", at positions 524 to 776 of the family's 1533-position model. The record is from RNAcentral. Lineage: Bacteria; Bacillati; Bacillota; Clostridia; Lachnospirales; Lachnospiraceae.